AACGAACGCUGGCGGCAUGCCUUACACAUGCAAGUCGAACGGUAACAGGUCUUCGGAUGCUGACGAGUGGCGAACGGGUGAGUAAUACAUCGGAACGUGCCCGAUCGUGGGGGAUAACGCAGCGAAAGCUGUGCUAAUACCGCAUACGAUCUACGGAUGAAAGCGGGGGAUCGCAAGACCUCGCGCGGACGGAGCGGCCGAUGGCAGAUUAGGUAGUUGGUGGGAUAAAAGCUUACCAAGCCGACGAUCUGUAGCUGGUCUGAGAGGACGACCAGCCACACUGGGACUGAGACACGGCCCAGACUCCUACGGGAGGCAGCAGUGGGGAAUUUUGGACAAUGGGCGCAAGCCUGAUCCAGCCAUGCCGCGUGCAGGAUGAAGGCCUUCGGGUUGUAAACUGCUUUUGUACGGAACGAAAAAGCUCUCUCUAAUACAGGGGGUGAAUGACGGUACCGUAAGAAUAAGCACCGGCUAACUACGUGCCAGCCGCCGCGGUAA
This 498-nucleotide ribosomal RNA is filed under the name uncultured bacterium. RNAcentral describes it as "partial 16S ribosomal RNA". It matches the Rfam family "Bacterial small subunit ribosomal RNA", at positions 29 to 523 of the family's 1533-position model. The record is from RNAcentral.